AGUAGCUAGGAGUUUAAUUGAAAUACUAAAGAAAAACUGGAGGGUUAAACAAGAAUUUGCAGGGAAGAAAUAGCUAGUAACUAAAGAAUGUAGGGACUAAAUGGCGAUAUGAAAAGAAGAAAGAAGAAAGAAAAGAACGAAGAAGAAGAAGAAGGGAAAGAAGCUUGGCGCUGCCAUCAAUGGCAGAAGAGGGAAGGAGAGGUCUGGGGCGUGGUGGCGAUGGCUAGUGGAAGAGCAGACGUCGGCGAGUAGAGCGGCAACGACGGCGGCAGCUCUAACGACCACAGAUGACGGAAAAAAAAAAGAAGACAGCAACUUCUUCGACGCCGUUCAUAGCCUUUCCGGCGACCAAUGGCAGCGGUUUCGGUCUUAAAAUGACCGGCAACUUGAGGGCUUUCUAAUAGGGGCAGUAGUAUCGAAAAUGGUGACCAGAGAAGAGAGGUCAGAUUAAGGAAAGGCAGCUGGAUCAUUGGACUUUUUCGGCCAUCUCCGGCGAGUUAUGACUGAUCGAAGUUCAUGGAUGAACUCCCUUGCUCACAAACUUUCCUAUGACACUAAUUUUGCGGCGAUUGGACUCUAUUUAAAAAUCAACGGUCAAAACUGUCUGUAAUUUUUUUCGGAUGAUCGGAGACUGGAUUGAAGAAUCAGGUGCUAGAAUCAUCGUCUGCACAUUGUCUCCAAUCUAUAGGCGCACUCGGAUUGUCGACCGGACACCGGUGGCCGAAGAUAAUCCAUCAUUUCAGUUCACUCCACCCGAGGCUUAGGAGCAGAGCAAGGGGGUCAUCAGAACUAUGAGUUAAGUAGAACAUAUGCCACCUGAUGGAUUACAUCAGGACCGCGUGUGCACCAGUAUAAAUCUGAGACAGGUAGUGAAAGAAUAUUUUAAGAUUUACCCUGGUCGAAUUCAACUCUCUGGACUGCGAAGAUUUGAUUGCCCGAUUAAAGGUUCCUGGUCAAGCUCCGCUCUCUGAGUGCCAGUUCUGUUGGUGUGAGAGAGCUGAAAGGCUGUUAGUGUUGGAAUUAGGGUUCUACUGAGGUACUCGUAAACUAUAUUUUAUUGAAUCAUUAUAUGGCCUAAUAUUUUAUUUUUGAUUAAAUAAAUAUUUUAUUGA
Long non-coding RNA from Ricinus communis (castor bean), 1112 nucleotides. RefSeq lists it as uncharacterized. Lineage: Eukaryota; Viridiplantae; Streptophyta; Magnoliopsida; Malpighiales; Euphorbiaceae. The transcript has 3 exons. The record is from RefSeq and is a predicted model, not a curated record.